RNAcentral lists this ribosomal RNA (1431 nucleotides) under Salmonella enterica subsp. enterica. Its description in RNAcentral is "partial 23S ribosomal RNA". It matches the Rfam family "Bacterial large subunit ribosomal RNA", at positions 325 to 1757 of the family's 2925-position model. The record is from RNAcentral. RNAcentral also lists the same sequence under 1 other name. Lineage: Bacteria; Pseudomonadati; Pseudomonadota; Gammaproteobacteria; Enterobacterales; Enterobacteriaceae.
UGUGUUAGUGGAAGCGUCUGGAAAGGCGCGCGAUACAGGGUGACAGCCCCGUACACAAAAGCGCAUGUGCUGUGAGCUCGAUGAGUAGGGCGGGACACGUGGUAUCCUGUCUGAAUAUGGGGGGACCAUCCUCCAAGGCUAAAUACUCCUGACUGACCGAUAGUGAACCAGUACCGUGAGGGAAAGGCGAAAAGAACCCCGGCGAGGGGAGUGAAAAAGAACCUGAAACCGUGUACGUACAAGCAGUGGGAGCACAGGUUUACCUGUGUGACUGCGUACCUUUUGUAUAAUGGGUCAGCGACUUAUAUUCUGUAGCAAGGUUAACCGAAUAGGGGAGCCGGAGGGAAACCGAGUCUUAAUUGGGCGUUAAGUUGCAGGGUAUAGACCCGAAACCCGGUGAUCUAGCCAUGGGCAGGUUGAAGGUUGGGUAACACUAACUGGAGGACCGAACCGACUAAUGUUGAAAAAUUAGCGGAUGACCUGUGGCUGGGGGUGAAAGGCCAAUCAAACCGGGAGAUAGCUGGUUCUCCCCGAAAGCUAUUUAGGUAGCGCCUCGUGAAUUCAUCUCCGGGGGUAGAGCACUGUUUCGGCUAGGGGGCCAUCCCGGCUUACCAACCCGAUGCAAACUGCGAAUACCGGAGAAUGUUAUCACGGGAGACACACGGCGGGUGCUAACGUCCGUCGUGAAGAGGGAAACAACCCAGACCGCCAGCUAAGGUCCCAAAGUCAUGGUUAAGUGGGAAACGAUGUGGGAAGGCCCAGACAGCCAGGAUGUUGGCUUAGAAGCAGCCAUCAUUUAAAGAAAGCGUAAUAGCUCACUGGUCGAGUCGGCCUGCGCGGAAGAUGUAACGGGGCUAAACCAUGCACCGAAGCUGCGGCAGCGACGCUUAUGCGUUGUUGGGUAGGGGAGCGUUCUGUAAGCCUGUGAAGGUGGCCUGUGAGGGUUGCUGGAGGUAUCAGAAGUGCGAAUGCUGACAUAAGUAACGAUAAAGCGGGUGAAAAGCCCGCUCGCCGGAAGACCAAGGGUUCCUGUCCAACGUUAAUCGGGGCAGGGUGAGUCGACCCCUAAGGCGAGGCCGAAAGGCGUAGUCGAUGGGAAACGGGUUAAUAUUCCCGUACUUGGUGUUACUGCGAAGGGGGGACGGAGAAGGCUAUGUUGGCCGGGCGACGGUUGUCCCGGUUUAAGCGUGUAGGUGUGUGUUCCAGGUAAAUCCGGUUCACUUUAACACUGAGGCGUGAUGACGAGGCACUACGGUGCUGAAGUAACAAAUGCCCUGCUUCCAGGAAAAGCCUCUAAGCAUCAGGUAACAUCAAAUCGUACCCCAAACCGACACAGGUGGUCAGGUAGAGAAUACCAAGGCGCUUGAGAGAACUCGGGUGAAGGAACUAGGCAAAAUGGUGCCGUAACUUCGGGAGAAGGCACGCUGACAC